This 450-nucleotide ribosomal RNA is filed under the name uncultured bacterium. Its description in RNAcentral is "bacterial SSU rRNA". It matches the Rfam family "Bacterial small subunit ribosomal RNA", at positions 354 to 796 of the family's 1533-position model. The record is from RNAcentral.
GUGGGGAAUAUUGGACAAUGGGCGAAAGCCUGAUCCAGCCAUGCCGCGUGUGUGAAGAAGGUCUUCGGAUUGUAAAGCACUUUAAGUUGGGAGGAAGGGCAGUAAGUUAAUACCUUGCUGUUUUGACGUUACCGACAGAAUAAGCACCGGCUAACUUCGUGCCAGCAGCCGCGGUAAUACGAAGGGUGCAAGCGUUAAUCGGAAUUACUGGGCGUAAAGCGUGCGUAGGUGGUUUUGUAAGUUGGAGGUGAAAUCCCCGGGCUCAACCUGGGAACUGCCUCCAAAACUGCAUGACUAGAGUACGGUAGAGGGUAGUGGAAUUUCCUGUGUAGCGGUGAAAUGCGUAGAUAUAGGAAGGAACACCAGUGGCGAAGGCGACUACCUGGACUGAUACUGACACUGAGGUGCGAAAGCGUGGGGAGCAAACAGGAUUAGAAACCCCAGUAGUCC